Molecule: ribosomal RNA, 588 nt
Filed under: uncultured bacterium
Lineage: Bacteria
Description: partial 16S ribosomal RNA
Rfam family: Bacterial small subunit ribosomal RNA
Source: RNAcentral
UGGGGAAUUUUGGACAAUGGGCGAAAGCCUGAUCCAGCAAUGCCGCGUGUGUGAAGAAGGCCUUCGGGUUGUAAAGCACUUUUGUCCGGAAAGAAAUCCUUGGCUCUAAUACAGUCGGGGGAUGACGGUACCGGAAGAAUAAGCACCGGCUAACUACGUGCCAGCAGCCGCGGUAAUACGUAGGGUGCAAGCGUUAAUCGGAAUUACUGGGCGUAAAGCGUGCGCAGGCGGUUUGCUAAGACCGAUGUGAAAUCCCCGGGCUCAACCUGGGAACUGCAUUGGUGACUGGCAGGCUAGAGUAUGGCAGAGGGGGGUAGAAUUCCACGUGUAGCAGUGAAAUGCGUAGAGAUGUGGAGGAAUACCGAUGGCGAAGGCAGCCCCCUGGGCCAAUACUGACGCUCAUGCACGAAGGCGUGGGGGAGCAAAACAGGAUUAGAUACCCUGGUAGUCCACGCCCUAAACGAUGUCAACUAGUUGUUGGGGAUUCAUUUCCUAGUAACGUAGCUAACGCGUGAAGUUGACCGCCUGGGGAGUACGGUCGCAAGAUUAAAACUUAAAUGAAUUGACGGGGUCAUAGCUGUUUCCCCU